CCCCCGCUUGGGGAGGGCUCCCCUCGCCCCGCGUGUCCCGCUGCGGGGCUGCCUCCACGCGGCUGUCCCCCCCCGUCCAGUGUAACCUCGGGUCCGUUCGCAUUAAACCACUGUGAAGCCAAGUCUCUGCCUCGUCCUGCGGGCUCGGGGGGAGGGCGGAGGCGGGGAGGGGGGGGGGAACCGGGGCCGGCCUCCGCCCGGCAGAGGGCGCGGCGGGGCUUGGCGGGGGGGGUGCCCGCGGCUCGGGCCGGCCGGGAUGCGGCGGGCGGAGGGGCCGGCGGCGGGGCCCGGCUCCCCGGGCUGCCCCGACCUGCUGCUGCACGUCGGCGGGCCGAGCUCGCCGCUCUCGCCGCUUUUCCUCAGCUUCUUCGAGGAGGAGUGCAGCGCCAUCGCCGCCCGCCUGCGCAUGGGAGCCGCCGCCGCGGGGCCGUCCCCGGGGGGCGCCGCCGCCGGGCCCGUCACCUCCACGCCCGUCACCUCCGGGCCCGUCGCCUCCGCGCCGCUGCGCCCCUCGCAGCCCCCCGCCGGGGACGCCCCCGGUGCGACCCCCGGGGAGCCGCCGCCGCCCUCCGCCUCCGGGGAGCCCGGGGAGCCGCGGCCCCGCUCCCGCCUCGCCCGGCCGCAGCCCCGCAGGGCCGCCCGCCGCGGGGCCGGGCAGGGCGCACCGAGCCGCACCGGGCCCCCCGGCCGGUCCCCGGGGCGCCCGCGGGCAUCGCUGGGGCGGGAGCCCCCCAGGGCCGGCCGGGGGCCGGGAGCCCCCGCAGCGAGGCUCCCCCUGCCCUCAGGUGAGCCCAGCCGGAGGGAGCCCGGCUCCGGGCACCGUGCUCUCAUCACCCAGUGCCCGACACCCCCUGCGUCCCCCAGGUACGAAGCCGAAGCCGGCCGCCAAGCCCAGGCUGCAGCACCCCGGUGGGGCUCCGCAGCUGGCGCUGCCGUCUGCCGUACCCAGACCCACGCCCCGGGACAAGGAGAUGGAAACUGCUGGCAAGGCUGCGGGUCACAGACAGCCCUCGAAGAGGCUUUCUACAGCAAUCCCUACCGUGGCUUCUCGCUCCCGACUGCGGCCGCCAGGAAGAGUGGCUUCCCCCAAGCGCUCUUACCUAGGAUCGACUACCCAGGAGCUGCUGUGCAACAGGACCCGAGAGCUGAAGGAAAACGGCAAGGCUGA
Molecule: long non-coding RNA, 1168 nt
Filed under: Anser brachyrhynchus (Pink-footed goose)
Lineage: Eukaryota; Metazoa; Chordata; Aves; Anseriformes; Anatidae
Description: lncRNA (ENSABRG00000019286.1)
Source: RNAcentral